GGUUGUGGCUUAGUGGUAGAGCGAUUGCCUAGCAUGUGUAAGGCACUGGGUUAGAUUCUCAGCACCA
RNAcentral lists this transfer RNA (67 nucleotides) under Marmota monax (woodchuck). Its description in RNAcentral is "tRNA.Ala". The record is from RNAcentral. Lineage: Eukaryota; Metazoa; Chordata; Mammalia; Rodentia; Sciuridae.